CAGGGUUAUCUGGGAAUCUGGAGAGAGUUCCAGUUCCACAUGGAGCUUAUCUGGGGGCAGCUCUGCAGGGUCGAGGGGAAGGCGGGUCGAAGCAGUGGGAGAUGAAAUCACACUCUCAGAUGUCUUCUGUGAUGGCCUUAGCACAGAUAGCAUUGUUUCUUCCAUUUCUGACAAGGAUUGUUUUAACUGCUCAUCUGCCUUUUGAGGAUAAAUUGGGUGCCAUGAGUAGUCAAUCGUAAACACAACACACGGGACUGUCCAGCAUUCAACCCAUCCAGCCUCUUCCUGAGUAAUGUUCCUCCACUUGGGUUUGCCUGUUUUCUGACCACUUGGACAUUCACCAGAAAUGCAAGAUUCAGGAUUUAUUUUAUUCGGUUGACAAUCUUUCACCAACAUAAAAAGAGAAUAUUUGCUAGGAUGACAAUCCGGUAGAUACAAAUGAAGAUCAACAUCUUC
RNAcentral lists this long non-coding RNA (456 nucleotides) under Gallus gallus (chicken). The record is from RNAcentral. Lineage: Eukaryota; Metazoa; Chordata; Aves; Galliformes; Phasianidae.